GUACACGCUGUGACUAGCAUAUCAAUAAGCGGAGGAAAAGAAACUAACAAGGAUUCCCCUAGUAACGGCGAGUGAAGCGGGAAGAGCUCAAAUUUGAAAUCUUAAAGGGUUUCCCUUUACGAAUUGUAGUUUAAAGAAGUGUUUUCUGUUGAGGUUUUGGUAAAAGUUCUUUGGAAUAGGACAUCAUAGAGGGUGAGAAUCCCGUAUUUGACCUUUACUUUCAACUUUGUGAUACACUUUCAAAGAGUCGGAUUGUUUGGGAAUGCAGUCCAAAAUGGGUGGUAAAUUUCAUCUAAAGCUAAAUAUUGGCGAGAGACCGAUAGCGAACAAGUACCGUGAGGGAAAGAUGAAAAGAACUUUGAAAAGAGAGUUAAACAGUACGUGAAAUUGUCAAAAGGGAAGCGUUUGACACCAGUGUUGUUUUUCUGAAAAUCAAUUAAAGAACUGUUUAUGCUAAGCUGUUUAGACAUUAUCAGCUAUCUGUUUAGUUUUGAGCUUUUCUUUAAUGCACUUUUCAGUUAACAAGUCAACAUCAAUUUCUUUUGCUGUAAAAAAGCUUGAGGAAGGUGGCUUGAGAUUCGUCUUAAGUGUUUAUAGCCUCUUGCCUAUGCAGUCGGAGAGAUUGAGGUCUGCAGCGUAGAUCCUUCGGGGCUAAAUGCAUUUGUGCUAAGUUAUAGCAUUUUAUAGACAACUUGUUGACUAUGAUUUGUCUUGUAGCUUACUCGCUUAUGUUAUUUUACCUACGCUUAGGAUGUUGAAGAUGUAGCACAUCAU
This 774-nucleotide ribosomal RNA is filed under the name uncultured Neocallimastigales. RNAcentral's name for it is "partial large subunit ribosomal RNA". It matches the Rfam family "Eukaryotic large subunit ribosomal RNA", at positions 22 to 635 of the family's 3401-position model. Lineage: Eukaryota; Fungi; Neocallimastigomycota; Neocallimastigomycetes; Neocallimastigales. The record is from RNAcentral.